RNAcentral lists this ribosomal RNA (2917 nucleotides) under Aeromonas hydrophila. Its description in RNAcentral is "23S ribosomal RNA". It matches the Rfam family "Bacterial large subunit ribosomal RNA". Lineage: Bacteria; Pseudomonadati; Pseudomonadota; Gammaproteobacteria; Aeromonadales; Aeromonadaceae. The record is from RNAcentral.
GUUGUAUGGUUAAGUGACUAAGCGUACAUGGUGGAUGCCUUGGCAGUCAGAGGCGAUGAAGGACGUACUAACCUGCGAUAAGCCGUGAGCAGUCGGUAAGAGACAUUACGACUCACGGAUUUCCGAAUGGGGAAACCCACUUAGCAUAAGCUAGGUAUCGCUACGUGAAUACAUAGCGUAGCGAGGCGAACCGGGAGAACUGAAACAUCUAAGUACCCCGAGGAAAAGAAAUCAACCGAGAUUCCCUCAGUAGCGGCGAGCGAACGGGGAUUAGCCCUUAAGCAUCUUGGAAGUUAGUGGAACGGUCCUGGAAAGGCCGGCGAUACAGGGUGAUAGCCCCGUACACGAAAACAACCUUGAUGUGAAAUCGAGUAGGGCGGGACACGUGACAUCCUGUCUGAAUAUGGGGGGACCAUCCUCCAAGGCUAAAUACUCCUGACUGACCGAUAGUGAACCAGUACCGUGAGGGAAAGGCGAAAAGAACCCCUGUGAGGGGAGUGAAAUAGAACCUGAAACCGUGUACGUACAAGCAGUGGGAGCCCUUCGGGGUGACUGCGUACCUUUUGUAUAAUGGGUCAGCGACUUACAUUUUGUAGCGAGGUUAACCGUAUAGGGGAGCCGUAGGGAAACCGAGUCUUAACUGGGCGUCUAGUUGCAAGGUGUAGACCCGAAACCGGGUGAUCUAGCCAUGGGCAGGUUGAAGGUUGAGUAACAUCAACUGGAGGACCGAACCCACUAACGUUGCAAAGUUAGGGGAUGACCUGUGGCUGGGGGUGAAAGGCCAAUCAAACUCGGAGAUAGCUGGUUCUCCCCGAAAGCUAUUUAGGUAGCGCCUCGGACGAAUACUACUGGGGGUAGAGCACUGUUUGGGCUAGGGGGUCAUCCCGACUUACCAACCCCAUGCAAACUCCGAAUACCAGUAAGUAAUAUCCGGGAGACACACGGCGGGUGCUAACGUCCGUCGUGAAGAGGGAAACAACCCAGACCGCCGGCUAAGGUCCCAAAGUUCUGGUUAAGUGGGAAACGAUGUGGGAAGGCUCAGACAGCUAGGAUGUUGGCUUAGAAGCAGCCAUCAUUUAAAGAAAGCGUAAUAGCUCACUAGUCGAGUCGGCCUGCGCGGAAGAUGUAACGGGGCUCAAACCAGGCACCGAAGCCGCGGAUUCACACUAAGUGUGAGUGGUAGGGGAGCGUUCUGUAAGUCUGCGAAGGUGUGUCGAGAGGCAUGCUGGAGAUAUCAGAAGUGCGAAUGCUGACGUAAGUAACGAUAAAGGGGGUGAAAAGCCUCCUCGCCGGAAGACCAAGGGUUCCUGUCCAACGUUAAUCGGGGCAGGGUGAGUCGACCCCUAAGGCGAGGCCGAAAGGCGUAGUCGAUGGGAAGCAGGUUAAUAUUCCUGCACGACUUGUAAUUGCGAUGGGGGGACGGAGAAGGCUAGGUGGGCCAGGCGACGGUUGUCCUGGUGAAAGUGCGUAGGUGGUGUUUCUAGGCAAAUCCGGAGACACAACACUGAGAUACGAGACGAACACACUACGGUGUGGAAGCCAUUGAUGCCCUGCUUCCAGGAAAAGCCUCUAAGCUUCAGAUUACAAGUCAUCGUACCCCAAACCGACACAGGUGGUCGGGUAGAGAAUACCAAGGCGCUUGAGAGAACUCGGGUGAAGGAACUAGGCAAAAUAGAACCGUAACUUCGGGAGAAGGUUCGCUCUUGACAGUGAAGUCCCUUGCGGAUGGAGCAGUUGGGAGUCGCAGUGACCAGAUGGCUGGGACUGUUUAUCAAAAACACAGCACUCUGCAAACACGAAAGUGGACGUAUAGGGUGUGACACCUGCCCGGUGCCGGAAGGUUAAUUGAUGGGGUUAGCGCAAGCGAAGCUCUUGAUCGAAGCCCCGGUAAACGGCGGCCGUAACUAUAACGGUCCUAAGGUAGCGAAAUUCCUUGUCGGGUAAGUUCCGACCUGCACGAAUGGUGUAACCAUGGCCAUGCUGUCUCCACCCGAGACUCAGUGAAAUCGAAUUCGCCGUGAAGAUGCGGUGUACCCGCGGCUAGACGGAAAGACCCCGUGAACCUUUACUACAGCUUGGCACUGAACAUUGAACCUACAUGUGUAGGAUAGGUGGGAGGCUUUGAAGGCGUGACGCCAGUUGCGCUGGAGCCGUCCUUGAAAUACCACCCUUGUAUGUUUGAUGUUCUAACGCAGGCCCGUGAAUCCGGGUCGCGGACAGUGCCUGGUGGGUAGUUUGACUGGGGCGGUCUCCUCCCAAAGAGUAACGGAGGAGCACGAAGGUUGGCUAAUCCUGGUCGGACAUCAGGAGGUUAGUGCAAUGGCAUAAGCCAGCUUAACUGCGAGACGGACAGGUCGAGCAGGUACGAAAGUAGGUCAUAGUGAUCCGGUGGUUCUGAAUGGAAGGGCCAUCGCUCAACGGAUAAAAGGUACUCCGGGGAUAACAGGCUGAUACCGCCCAAGAGUUCAUAUCGACGGCGGUGUUUGGCACCUCGAUGUCGGCUCAUCACAUCCUGGGGCUGAAGUCGGUCCCAAGGGUAUGGCUGUUCGCCAUUUAAAGUGGUACGCGAGCUGGGUUCAGAACGUCGUGAGACAGUUCGGUCCCUAUCUGCCGUGGGCGUUGGAUGAUUGAAGGGAGUUGCUCCUAGUACGAGAGGACCGGAGUGAACGAACCUCUGGUGUUCGGGUUGUCACGCCAGUGGCACUGCCCGGUAGCUAAGUUCGGAAUCGAUAACCGCUGAAAGCAUCUAAGCGGGAAGCGAGCCCUGAGAUGAGUCAUCCCUGACCCCUUGAGGGUCCUAAAGGGCCGUUGGAGACCACAACGUUGAUAGGUGGGGUGUGUAAGCGCGGCGACGUGUUGAGCUAACCCAUACUAAUUACCCGUGAGGCUUAACCAUACAACACCCAAGAAGUGUUCU